GGGGACAUAGCUCAGCGGUCUGAGUGCCUGCAUGGCAAGCACAAGGUCCUGAGUUCGACUCCCAGUACCCCCA
Molecule: transfer RNA, 73 nt
Filed under: Cavia porcellus (domestic guinea pig)
Lineage: Eukaryota; Metazoa; Chordata; Mammalia; Rodentia; Caviidae
Rfam family: tRNA
About the family: Transfer RNA (tRNA) molecules are approximately 80 nucleotides in length. Their secondary structure includes four short double-helical elements and three loops (D, anti-codon, and T loops).
Source: Rfam by way of RNAcentral